ACAUCUAAAUCCAGUUUGGGGGAAUUAUGAUUCAUUGCUUUAUGGGAGUCUGGCAAGAUACACAGAAAUCUCCCUCUCAGUUUAGGGGGAUUGUCCUAUGAAUAGGGCUUACUCUGAGAGAGGACAAU
This is a non-coding RNA of Vulpes vulpes (red fox), 128 nucleotides long. NCBI's taxonomy places the organism in Eukaryota, Metazoa, Chordata, Mammalia, Carnivora, Canidae. The record is from Ensembl.